AUGGAGUUUUGCUGUGGGCGGAGAUCGGCUUUGACGGUUUCGUCAGAAGAGGUUGGAGCGGCAAGGCGGAAAAACAGUGGCGACAGAUCAGAGAUUGAGGCGUCUGACAGUGAUGUUGGAUGGCAGUGGAAAGUUUGGAUAAAGCAUGAUAUGGGCAGUUGGGAAGAAUUUCAUGGUAUGGAGAUUUUGGAUCAAAGCACUAGCAUGGAAGCAACCCUAGAAGCAUGA
Non-coding RNA from Vicia faba (fava bean), 228 nucleotides. The record is from the annotation of a GenBank genome assembly. Lineage: Eukaryota; Viridiplantae; Streptophyta; Magnoliopsida; Fabales; Fabaceae.